RNAcentral lists this unclassified non-coding RNA (213 nucleotides) under uncultured Haplotrichum. RNAcentral describes it as "sequence contains ITS2". Lineage: Eukaryota; Fungi; Basidiomycota; Agaricomycetes; Corticiales; Corticiaceae. The record is from RNAcentral.
UAUCAUCAGGCGCCUUCUUCUUCUGGAGGCUGGCGCUUGGACUUGGAUGUGCUGCCGGGCGGCGACGCUCGGCUCGUCCUAAAUGUAUUAGCGAGACCCCUGUGGCCUUUGGACUUUGGCUCUCACUCGGCGUGAUAAGAUCACCCGUCGAGAUGUCGUCCUGGCUGACUAGGAAGGCUUGCUUCCAACCGUCCCCUGCGGACAACUUUGACA